Molecule: long non-coding RNA, 693 nt
Organism: Lagenorhynchus albirostris (white-beaked dolphin)
Lineage: Eukaryota; Metazoa; Chordata; Mammalia; Artiodactyla; Delphinidae
Exons: 3
Source: RefSeq, a predicted model, not a curated record
GGGCAGUCAAAUGCGCCCUGGAACUGUUUCAUGCGCCUUCAUGGAGUAGCAUAGACUUAGAUAAACGGGCUGCAACAGAAUCGUGGAGCCCAGAAUAUGAGGAGGAGCCAGUCUAUCCAUUACACGAAUGCUGACAUUUUCAAAGAUCUUUAUCAAGAGCUGUGCUGGGCAGCAGAGAAAUACAGAAUAAGACCAGGGGCCCAUCAGCAAGGAACUUACAAAUCACAGGGAGGAAAAUAAUUCCUGCAUAAGGUGGUAAACACAGAGCUGGACUCCUGCAAAGAGAACGUGAAGAACAAGUAGCAGCAUUGCUUCUUACUGGUUCAUUUAAAUGUGGAAACUAAACAAACAAACAAAACCAAGAAAACCCACUGAACUCCUAGACACAGAGAAGAGAUUGGUGGUUACCAGAGGCAAGGGUGAAGAUAGUGAAAAGGUACAAACUUCCAGUUGUAAAAGAAAUAAAAUAAAUAAGAAUAAAGUAAAUAAGUCCUGCAGGGUAAAAAACAAAACCAAAAAAUCCAGUAGUUCACUGUACAUUCCUAGGAUGCAUACAUCUCCAAGAACAUGAAGAAUUGUAAGGAACCUCUAAACUAUUAUGAGAACUCACAUAGUCAGUAACAAAACUGGACAUUUUGGGGCUUCCCUGGUGGCGCAGUGGUUGAGUCCACCUGCCGAUGCAGGGGAUGCGGG